RNAcentral lists this ribosomal RNA (253 nucleotides) under uncultured bacterium. RNAcentral's name for it is "partial 16S ribosomal RNA". It matches the Rfam family "Bacterial small subunit ribosomal RNA", at positions 524 to 776 of the family's 1533-position model. The record is from RNAcentral.
UACAGAGGUCUCAAGCGUUGUUCGGAUUCAUUGGGCGUAAAGGGUGCGUAGGUGGCGAUGUAAGUCGGAUGUGAAAUCUCCAGGCUCAACCUGGAAACUGCAUUCGAUACUGCGUCGCUCGAGGAUUGUAGAGGGCAUUGGAAUUCACGGUGUAGCAGUGAAAUGCGUAGAUAUCGUGAGGAAGACCAGUGGCGAAGGCGAAUGCCUGGGCAAUUCCUGACACUGAGGCACGAAGGCCAGGGGAGCGAACGGG